Molecule: ribosomal RNA, 497 nt
Filed under: uncultured bacterium
Lineage: Bacteria
Description: partial 16S ribosomal RNA
Rfam family: Bacterial small subunit ribosomal RNA
Source: RNAcentral
GAUGAACGCUGGCGGCGUGCCUAAUACAUGCAAGUCGAGCGAACAGACGAGGAGCUUGCUCCUCUGACGUUAGCGGCGGACGGGUGAGUAACACGUGGAUAACCUACCUAUAAGACUGGGAUAACUUCGGGAAACCGGAGCUAAUACCGGAUAAUAUAUUGAACCGCAUGGUUCAAUAGUGAAAGACGGUUUUGCUGUCACUUAUAGAUGGAUCCGCGCCGCAUUAGCUAGUUGGUAAGGUAACGGCUUACCAAGGCAACGAUGCGUAGCCGACCUGAGAGGGGGAUAGGCCACAUGGGAACUGAGCCACGGUCCAGACUCCUACGGGAGGCAGCAGUAGGGAAUCUUCCGCAAUGGGCGAAAGCCUGACGGAGCAACGCCGCGUGAGUGAUGAAGGUCUUCGGAUCGUAAAACUCUGUUAUUAGGGAAGAACAAAUGUGUAAGUAACUAUGCACGUCUUGACGGUACCUAAUCAGAAAGCCACGGCUAACUACGUG